Molecule: ribosomal RNA, 301 nt
Filed under: uncultured bacterium
Lineage: Bacteria
Description: partial 16S ribosomal RNA
Rfam family: Bacterial small subunit ribosomal RNA
Source: RNAcentral
CAGUCGCCGCGGUAAUACGUAGGUGGCAAGCGUUGUCCGGAAUUAUUGGGCGUAAAGCGCGCGCAGGCGGAUCAGUCAGUCUGUCUUAAAAGUUCGGGGCUUAACCCCGUGAUGGGAUGGAAACUGCCAAUCUAGAGUAUCGGAGAGGAAAGUGGAAUUCCUAGUGUAGCGGUGAAAUGCGUAGAUAUUAGGAAGAACACCAGUGGCGAAGGCGACUUUCUGGACGAAAACUGACGCUGAGGCGCGAAAGCCAGGGGAGCGAACGGGAUUAGAUACCCCGGUAGUCCCUGUCUCUUAUACA